GUGGGGUCAAUGAUACAGAAAAAGGCAAUAAAAUAUACGAUGUGACCAAUAAUGCAACAAUUAUACACAUGUAACAUAUCCCCAGAUAGCUCAGGUCUGAGCGCAGAUUAAUACAGAAUAGUGCUCAGACCACACGAAUACAGUUUAAUUGCCAUGGAGCCAAAGUCUUUAAUUACAUGAACAGGCUCCAUGGCAUGCUACCUGG
This is a non-coding RNA of Pelobates cultripes (western spadefoot toad), 205 nucleotides long. The record is from the annotation of a GenBank genome assembly. Lineage: Eukaryota; Metazoa; Chordata; Amphibia; Anura; Pelobatidae.